AGCUCCCUUCCCGGCGGCCUUUGCGGGAACAAGAUGGCAGCCCUCAUACCUCAAGGGUUCUCUUGUUUAUCGAGGGUUUUGGGCUGGUGGUCUCGGCAGCCAGUUCUGGUGACUCAGUCCGCAGCUAUAGUUCCAGUAAGAACUAAAAAACGUUUCACAUCUCCUAUUUAUCAACCUAAAUUUAAAACAGAAAAGGAGUUUAUGCAACAUGCCCGGAAAGCAGGAUUGGUUAUUCCUCCAGAAAAAUCGGACCGUUCCAUACAUCUGGCCUGUACAGCUGGUAUAUUUGAUGCCUAUGUUCCUCCUGAGGGUGAUGCACGCAUAUCAUCUCUUUCAAAGGAGAGAUGAUAGAGAGAACUGAUAGAGAGAACUGAACGAAUGAAGAAGACUAUGGCAUCACAAGUGUCAUUUUAUUGGCUGGGUGCGGUGGCUCACGUCUGUAAUCCCAGCACUUUGGGAGGCUGAGGUGGGCAGAUCACCUGAGGUCAGGAAUCGAAAACCAGCCUGACCAACGUGGAGAAACCUCGUCUCUACUAAAAAUGCAAAAUUAGCCGGGCGUGGUGGCACAUGCCUGUAAUCCCAGCUACUCAAGAGGCUGAGGCAGGAGAAUCGCUUGAACCUGGGAGGCGGAGGUUGCGGUGAGCUGAGAUCGUGCCAUUGCACUCCAGCCUGGGCAACAAGGGCGAAACUCUGUCUCAAAAAAUAAUAAUAAUAAAAAAGAUUUUAUCAUAUCACCUUCCUGCUUAGAACUCUUUUAUGGCUUCCUGUUAACCAAAGAAUAAAAUCCAGAUAUCUUCAGUGGUA
Homo sapiens (human) is the source of this 804-nucleotide long non-coding RNA. Lineage: Eukaryota; Metazoa; Chordata; Mammalia; Primates; Hominidae. The record is from Ensembl.